Molecule: ribosomal RNA, 400 nt
Filed under: uncultured bacterium
Lineage: Bacteria
Description: bacterial SSU rRNA
Rfam family: Bacterial small subunit ribosomal RNA
Source: RNAcentral
UAUUGGGCAAUGGGCGCAAGCCUGACCCAGCAACGCCGCGUGAAGGAAGAAGGCUUUCGGGUUGUAAACUUCUUUUGACAGGGAAGAGCAGAAGACGGUACCUGUCGAAUAAGCCCCGGCUAACUACGUGCCAGCAGCCGCGGUAAUACGUAGGUGGCAAGCGUUGUCCGGAUUUACUGGGUGUAAAGGGCGUGUAGCCGGGCUGACAAGUCAGAUGUGAAAUCCGGGGGCUCAACCCCCGAACUGCAUUUGAAACUGUUGGUCUUGAGUAUCGGAGAGGCAGGCGGAAUUCCUAGUGUAGCGGUGAAAUGCGUAGAUAUUAGGAGGAACACCAGUGGCGAAGGCGGCCUGCUGGACGACAACUGACGGUGAGGCGCGAAAGCGUGGGGAGCAAACAGGA